RNAcentral lists this ribosomal RNA (253 nucleotides) under uncultured bacterium. Its description in RNAcentral is "partial 16S ribosomal RNA". It matches the Rfam family "Bacterial small subunit ribosomal RNA", at positions 524 to 776 of the family's 1533-position model. The record is from RNAcentral.
UACGUAGGGUCCGAGCGUUGUCCGGAAUUAUUGGGCGUAAAGAGCUCGUAGGCGGCCUGUCGCGUCGGAUGUGAAAGCCCGGGGCUUAACCCCGGGUCUGCAUUCGAUACGGGCAGGCUAGAGUGUGGUAGGGGAGAUCGGAAUUCCUGGUGUAGCGGUGAAAUGCGCAGAUAUCAGGAGGAACACCGGUGGCGAAGGCGGAUCUCUGGGCCAUUACUGACGCUGAGGAGCGAAAGCGUGGGGAGCGAACAGG